Paramormyrops kingsleyae is the source of this 1319-nucleotide long non-coding RNA. RefSeq lists it as uncharacterized. Lineage: Eukaryota; Metazoa; Chordata; Actinopteri; Osteoglossiformes; Mormyridae. The record is from RefSeq and is a predicted model, not a curated record.
UAGUCUGAGCUGUGGAAACCAAGAACUGGCUGUUGAAACUAAUGCACAGUGUUUAUGCAGUAUUUGCAGUGCUUUUCUUUUACACCUAUAUACUACUGUCUCAGCUUUAUCAAUUUUUGCAUAAAAAAGGUCUCAGAAAGCUUUAGGCCUUACAUUGUUUCUUGGAUACAAUGGAUUUGAUAAGGUGUACCUGAACCAUUGACCACUUAAACAGUGCGAGCCAGUUGAACUAAGUAUUAGUCUAUAGCAAAGAGCCAAACUAGCUGAACAGCAAUGCUGCGGUGAUAAAAUACCCAAACUUACAAUCAGAACAAACAGAUGAACAGACUGCUUAACGGAAUUUCUGUUGGUACUGGGUGUGAGUGUAUAAUUAAUACAUAUGUUUAUUAAUAUAUAUGGGAGUGGAGCAAGAGUGUAAAUAUUAAAGUAAGCUUCAACCUCAGAAUAUAACCAUUCAUUAAUACUUCACCUGCAUUACAAAUGUUGGGAUUUGUAUCAUAUCCAACAAUAAUCGUUGUACUUUCACUUUGUAGAACAGUGGCAAGGUGGUGUCCCAUCAAACGCUUUUAUCCAAAGCGAUUAAUAAAGUAUGAAAUUUAUACUCUACGCUUUACUGUAGCGGAUCACUUUAUGACUGCACAGACCCCACUGGAAGCCCUUUCUGCACACAACAACCUGCUGCCCCAGCAAAUCCACCUGUAUCAACAAAAGCUCUGUGCACCGGCCUCAACAAUAAGAUUUAUCAAAAGAGGAAAUGGGGGGGGGGGAAUGGUGCCGAGUUUGUCCAGGACACCCUUCUCUGUAGCCUCGGUUCGUUUUAUAAGCUUAUGCUGCUAUUUCCAUACCUCCCCCUCUUAAUCAUUUAUUGAACCAGAACGUAUGAGUAUUCUUCACAUCCAGAUGCAGGAUAGUGGUGUUGUCUUCAGGCCUUCACUACAUAAACUCAGAGCAAACUCCACCGCCGGCAUGUCAUCAGAAAUGUAUAAAGAUCAGAACUGAGAGGCCUGCAGCAGCACUGAUGCACCAAGGGACAACUUGCAGACGAGUUCUGAUGCCGCCGCUGCUUCUGAUGGCUGCUUCCUGUGGAACAGUAACUGAAAUGAGCAAGUGUCUUCAGUGCUGAGCUGCUGAUCGCUUGGGCUGGCCUUCCUGAAGCUUCCAGCAUGAAUAUUGCAGCAAGGUGGUGUAAUUGCACAGAAUCGCCAGCAGAGGUCACCAGCACACGCAGAAAACCAUCUGCUUCCGAUAUAAUGGUCUCUCUGUGGUGUACCUCCUCUUCCUCCUCUUCCUCCCCUUGCUACCAGACCCGACAGUGAUAU